UUCCACGCCGUAAACGAUGAUGGCUAACCGCCGGCGACACACUGUCGGUGGCCAAGCGAAAGCGAUAAGCCAUCCACCUGGGGAGUACGUCGGCAACGAUGAAACUCAAAGGAAUUGACGGGGACCCGCACAAGCGGUGGAUGAUGUGGAUUAAUUCGAUGCAACGCGAAAACCUUACCUACCCUUGACAUGUCUGGAACCUUGCUGAGAGGCGAGGGUGCCUUCGGGAGCCAGAACACAGGUGCUGCAUGGCUGUCGU
Molecule: ribosomal RNA, 259 nt
Filed under: uncultured bacterium
Lineage: Bacteria
Description: partial 16S ribosomal RNA
Rfam family: Bacterial small subunit ribosomal RNA
Source: RNAcentral